Long non-coding RNA from Cygnus olor (mute swan), 6545 nucleotides. RefSeq lists it as uncharacterized. The record is from RefSeq and is a predicted model, not a curated record. Lineage: Eukaryota; Metazoa; Chordata; Aves; Anseriformes; Anatidae. The transcript has 4 exons.
CUUGCUUUAUGAUGGACUGAAAGCAAUGGAAGGUCCCACGGUAGAGAGGUUUCUCUACAUUUUGAACUUGUAGUCGAACCUAUAAAAAGUUGUAUGAGAUACUGAUGUGUAUGACAAGAGCAGCAUAACUGGUAAACUAGUGACUUGUACGUAUAUGGAGAUUUGCUAUAGAAAUGUAUAUGCAAGAGCAAAGGCUGGACACUGGAAUGCCAUAUGUGGCAAAAUCAUUUAAAAACAUUCUGGAAGUGCUUAGAAUUAUUUUUUUUUGGGGGGGAGGCAAAAAAAAAUUGAAGGGAGAAGGGUUAUUAACUUAUUGUGAAAAUUAGAAAACUGGUACAUGGAAAUACAACAGGGUAUACUCUUUUCUAGAAUUUCAGAUAAUUUUCCCAUAGUGACUACAAGAAGUGCUUCCUUUAGCUGCCAAGAAUAUUUCUGUCCACACUAAGCAAUAUCUGUACAAACCUGAUAGCAUUUUAUAAGAAAGUAUUUACAAGUCAAGCAUGAAAUAGGGAUGAUUUAAAAGGUUGGAAACUUUCAACAACAACACAUCUAGUGUUUCUGGCUACUGGACUUGGGACCCUUCACUGAGAUCAGAUUUUUUUUUCAGAGGUUAGAGGGGAAGAGACUUAAAAUAUCUUACAGUUGCUUAAGGAAAGGUAUAAAAAGCCACUCCUCCCUUUAAAUCUUAGUCUGUUUUUUUAACUUGCUGAAAGCAAACAAUUUCUGAGGGUGUGGCUGUUUCAAACCUUUAAUGUUUGUAAUAAGUUAACUUUUCCAAAACUGACACAGCAUGGCCUGCUGGACAGAUGAUGCUACUGUUUCUGAUGACAUUAGGAGACAGUCACAUUUUCUAGGUGUUUUUGUAACCUUUAAUGUGAAAGUUCAAUUCAGGUCUUCCUCCUAAUUUGCCUUAAGCACACUUCAACAAACAAAAAGGCUCAAAGCUACUUAGUUCAUCCAAAACCCUGCACUGCAGUAAACUCAGUAAGUUGGUUUCGCUGGAGUGGUGAAGUUAGACAUCUGCCUUUCAUCUCCAGCUUGGAGGGCUGCAAUAUUCCUGAGAAGAUGCUUAUCAACCGUUUACUGCUGCUGCAACUCCAGGACAAAAAAAGUUCAAGACUCUUUAUUUUGAACAAAAGAAGGGAUUAUUAGGUCUCUGUGAGGAAUUCCUGACUUUAAAUUCUUUAUCCCUGUCUGCCUAAAGUAAUAACAGCACCGACACCACCACAAUGAAAUAAGAUGAUGUGGGUCUAGAAACAAUCUGGGGACGUGGUUUAUCAGAAGUCCCUAUUAAGGUUAGUUUUCUUCAAGGGAAAAAAAAUUAGUGUCAGUAUUUUUGACAUUACUACAAUAUGUCAUUUCAUGUUUUGUAAAUCUAAACUUUAGUUUUUAGUGUCUUUUUAGCAUGCACAUUAGUGUACAUUAGCCAUACUCUGAGGCUGAGAUCACCUUGAGUCUUCCAAGAUGGAAAAGGGUUUUAAAACAUCUUAGAAUUGAGAGUAGGCUUAGAGUAAAAUUCAAAGAAAAUAAAUCAUUUUCUUAUUCAAAGUCAGGGGGGAAGGUGUAGUGGGGUUUUGUAAAACUGCUCAAGAAGUAGACCCAUAAGCAAAGUCAUACACCUUAAGUCAGAACUGCACAAAAUGUAGGUCUUACUCCAUUUAUGGUUUUAUUGCUAUUAUUUCAAACCCCAGCUGUGAAAUCAGGGGACUUUCAAAUGUAUAAGCUUUGGAAUAAUUACAGCUUAGGAACCUUUUUACUUUUGUGUGCAGUUAUCUUUAGCAGUUUAGAAUUAUUAUAGAUAUUCCAGAUAGAUACAGAUAUUCUAGAUAUAGUUAUUCUGUAUAUAGGCUGAGUUUCCUAUUGGCAUAGAGCUUCUACUAUUUUUAUCUAAAUUAUAUGUGAAAUAUUGACCAAUUAAAGUGUUGUUGUGGGAUUAAAUAUUCAGAAAGUUAACUACUGACACAUCAGGCCUAAGAAUGAAAAGCAACUCUGCUUUAAACAAUAAUGACCACAUUAGGGUACAAACUGGCACCAUAGUUACAAACUGCCAGAUGAGACAGUGAACCUGUAUGAAACUUUAUUGUUUUAAUACUAACUUCAAGUUGUAAUUUAGUGAGUAUACCUAUAGGAGGGAUGAAUCAAUUACAGAGGUUAACUGUCUAUUCUGUUAAUUGGCCAACAAUCAUUGUGUCUUUUCAUUUUGUUUCUGUCUUAUUUGAAACCACUGUUACUGAAGGUUUAAGUACAACAGUAACAUAUUGUAAUUUCACAUUGCUAAAAACUUGCACAGAGGUACUCAAGACUAAACAAACAAAAAACCCCUUCUAACAGUCCAAACAGUUAAUGUGUGAAAUAGAAUUGUUUGAGCAAUGAAAGUUUCUUCCAAGGACAUGUUGUGGAUAAGACCUCAACAACAGUUUGCCUGAGAUUCAGUUUUACAGCCACUGUGUGUGGAAGUGUAUAUAGUGAGAAAUGCAUACCAGAAAGAGGGUUCAGAAUAAGACUUUACAUUUUUAUUUUCAUUUUUAAAGGGAUAUUUAAACCCCGCUCCCUCCAUGUCAUAGUUGUAGAAGAGGGACAAAUCAGUUUAAAACUAAAAAGGAAAAAAAAAGCUUCAUAAGUCUUUCAGAGCUUUAUUUGAACUAUUACAUUUUGGAAUAAAUUAAGACUGAGAGAAACAGAAGUGUUCACCUGGGCUAUACUUACUAGGUAACUCUCCCGUGAUGAGGCUUAUCUCUCAUCUACAACAAAGUAACACUUUUGCUGUUAAUGAAGACAGCCCCUAGCUCAGAAAGUAAAGGCAGUUAAAAGCAAAAAAGCAAUUUUAUACAUCACAUCAACAAACCAGGGAUAAGAUGUUUGCCAGCUCUGAGAUCAGCUCGCUGGCGGGUUUCUCAGCCUGACCUGCAGGCUCCGGCUCUCCCUGUGUGUCCCACCAGCCCCCUCCCCCUUGUGGAACAUGAUCACUGGCAAAAAAAAAAAAAAAAAAAAAAAAAGCUUAAAAGUCAGGGUGGAAGUAAAAUUCUGGCUUAUCUAACCAGCUUUCCCACUGUUCAGUUAUAUUAAAACCUUAAAGUCUAAGGUGAUGUCCAACUAGUCCUUUAAACACUGCAGUACUAUAAAGAGAGUUAAUUCUUAACACAUAUACAUGUACAACAAGAUAUGCAUUUUUUCUUUCCUUUUUUUUUUUUUUUUAAAAGAAUGGUUAUAUGGUUAGUUUUCCCACAUAGGGGGUGACUACGCCAGCUAACAACACAAACAUUAGGGUUUUCGCUAACAAAGUGUAGAUAACUUUAUCCUUUCUAGUGGUAUGAAAGCAGUGUUCCACACUGGAUUUCAUAAAAAGGGUUAAAGUCAUCUGGAAACAAACUGCUUUGCUCUACUGUAUAGCAAGAUGCUUUGUCUUAAGCCAACACAUCUAUUUUGCAUUAAUACAUCUGCCAGAACUAGCAUGGGAGCCCCAGUUUUGCAGACAUUUAAAUGUUUGGUUUCAUGCACUAUAAGCUGUUCCACUUUAAAAACAAACAAAGAACCCCACACAUGCUUAACUUUAGCUUGAGCAUAAAAUUUUAGCAGUUUUGCUGGCUUCAGUGAAGUGACCCAUCACCAAAAGUUAAGCAUGUAAAACUGGGCAGGAUCGGGGGAGAGGAGACAGCUGUCCCUGUACCACCAGAAAAAAGCGUGCAAGCCUGGAUAAUACCAUUCCUGAAAAUAUUUACUCUAAUUACCCAAUUACUUAACAGUCAUUUUUUUAUAUUCUCAGAAACAUACAUAGAGUCUUUAACUAUUUGACCAGCUUGCACUUGACUGGCAAGGACUAAAAUCCACUUGCUAGUAAAAUCUGUUCUGUAUCGAUUCACCCACGUGGCUAGGAUAUGUAACGUGGUGAUGACCCCUGUAAUACUAUCAGCCCUUUGCAUAGCUAAAUUCAGUAAGGUAGAGGCGUUCCAAAUAUAGCCACGGCGGGUGGCAUGCUGUGUGCUGCAGUCAAGUGACCUGCUGUGUUAGCUUAGCAGUGAGCAUACUGGCAUCCCUUGGUCUAUUCUUCCAGUGAGAGACUUUAGAUAAGGCUGCCAAAAAGCGACUUUGGUCAUCAUCCUGCUCUGAAAAAUGGGCUUGGGUCCCUGGGAGUCCUGGCUGAAGGGCCUCAGGAGGUUUUAAAUCCUCCAAAAAUUGUAUCUUUGAACAGGUCUUAGCUACCCUUAGUAUGCAUAAUGCAUACAGUUAACAGAGAAUUGAUUUUAACUUGGAAAGUUACAGAAUAUGUACAUAACAACACCUCAGAGAUACAUAUGUAAUACCUAAAGGGAAGAAAAAGGCCCCAGACAAGCGUCAUGCCGUGGAUUUUUGCCCACUUACACCCUUUGGCUAGUGUAGCAAAUUAAUGCCUGAGGAGUAAGCAGCAGAGCUUGGGGGGGAAACGAAACAAAGCUUUCCAUCUAGUGACAAAGUAGGUUUGAGUUACAAGUGCGGGUAGAGGCAGUUCUAGCAGUUAGUGGUGAAGGGCUGCAGUAAAGCAAGCUUUGAAUAAAAUGAAGUUAAAUGUAAGAUCCUGUUUUUGAAUGCCAUGAUGUUACUGCACUGACGAACUUCUGGUUUGGGCCAACGUUUGGUCAUGUUACAGGGCUGAAUCAUACAUACAGGGAUCUGUUCGCUUCUGAAGGGCUGGAGGCUACAAGUCUACGAACCAUAGCUCGAGAGGCUUGCUCCAAGCUUUCAAUCACAGAUUUAUGCUGCUACGACAUCUGGGGAUUUUUUUUUUUUUCCUCCCCGGCUCCUUGGAAAAACAUCGUUUUCUACUUAGAGACAGAAAUAUUUUGUCAUCAACCCACCUUGACGGUGUCGAAGGGGUGUCCGACAAGCACUCCGGCAGCACCUGAAACAAAGCAGACAGUGUGGUUGUGACCAGCAGUCCCAGCUCCCUGCUGGGAUAGCAGCAUGCGGCGUGGCGGGCAGGCUGGGAGGCAGGAGACCUACGGUGUGGUCCCUCAAACCAGUACCAGAUGCCUUUAUGCUUCUGGCAAGCUUGGGAGCUCCAGGCAGGGACCGAGCUGUGCGACUACGGGGAGCGCCACGUCACACGGGAUGCUCGGCAGCGAGUCCUGGCCCCAGCCUAAGGCAAGCGCAGGGGGCAGCAAUUGCAAAUUGCCUCUAGAGAGAUUUAAUCAACGCCCUGCUCUGCAGAAGCAUAGAAAGCCUGGAAGCACCUCUAAAGGAAGAAAUAGCCAGCUCUCUGCCCGGUGCUUUUACAGAUGGGACAGUGGCACCUGCAGAAGGACCACCUUUGCCUUCCUAUAGCACUGAAGGAAUUUUUGGAAGGUCCCACCUGUGUUCUCAGGCCUGUGCUGGUGCUAUGAUAGCUUUCCAAGACAUGGUGGAACAAGUUUGUUUGCUUCUGGCCUCUCCUGGAGAAAGCAUGGGACACUUUGCAUCUGCAUGCGGUCAGAGAUAUGGAGAGCAGGGCUCCAGCAAGCGCUAAGCGGCUGGCGGACAUCUGACAAGAGCCUGACAUCCUUGCAGCGACUUCAUGCAGUGGACAUACAGCACACUGGUUGUGCCGAUGAGAAGAUUAGUUAUAGAGAGAUUGAGUGACUUGCCCAAAGUCACGCAAUAAAUCUGUGUCACUUCUUAAUCACUUGCAAUCAUCAUCUUCACCUCCCUUGGAAAUGCAUCAUCUUCCCUUCCCUGGGAAAUGUGUGCAGAAACGUUACAUCCUUCUAUCGGCUUUCCGGAGGCGAAAUCACCGAUCAUUUAUACCUGGCUAAAAGUGAUGCAGUGGCCAGUGCUCAGAGUGGCUUCCUUGCUGGUUUUGUUUGUCUUGCUAUAAAAGUCCUGCAGUAAAUAUAUGAGUCCUUGGAAUUGUUGGCUUUUCAUUAAUACCCAAGAUAAAGCACAAUGAGACAAUUUGAUCUGAAGCGCAGCUGGAGCCAAGAGGUCCCACCCCCUUUCCCACCCCCCAGUGCACAAGCCAAGUGCCAGGACCUGCAGCUCAUAGUGCUGGUGUCACUCUUCCCGCUCCUGCAAUUUGCAAACAGCCCGGUGACGUAGCGGGGCCGUGCUGUUUGAACAGCCUCCGCACUCAAGGGUUUUCUGAAAUGAGCUGGGAGGAGUUGGUGGGCAUGCAUAUGAGUGUGAUACUAGGCAGUGCAAGGGGAAGAGAAAAUGCAGUAAGCCAGGAACGUUUUCUCAGCAGAUCUGGAUCGAUGAGCUAGCAGGUGGUUGCAGAGGCGAGAGGACUGGCUUCUCUUUCACUUUGCAGGGUGGAUGGAGCUGGAAAUGUCCUGGGAGCGGUCUGGGGAUGCUCCUGCUGUUAUGUCUUACCUAAAAGAUGCCACUUACCAUUGCUUACCCACCUACAGCCUCCCCUAUCCACCUUUGCCUUUGCCCCAUACGCUUGUAGCAGCCCUCUAACCUGGGUGCUGCUUUGGCCGUGGUGCUGUUCCCUGUCUGGGUGGGCAGGCAGCUGCCUCAUCCUGUGAGCAGAGCAUUUCAUCCAUCACGCACUGUGCAGAAACUAAGCUCUUCCUCACUUUUCUACCGCUUCA